RNAcentral lists this ribosomal RNA (666 nucleotides) under uncultured Micromonosporaceae bacterium. Its description in RNAcentral is "bacterial SSU rRNA". It matches the Rfam family "Bacterial small subunit ribosomal RNA", at positions 136 to 816 of the family's 1533-position model. Lineage: Bacteria; Bacillati; Actinomycetota; Actinomycetes; Micromonosporales; Micromonosporaceae. The record is from RNAcentral.
CUUUGGGAUAACCCUCGGAAACGGGGGCUAAUACCGGAUAGGACUUCCUGCUGCAUGGUGGGGGGUGGAAAGAUUUUUCGGUCUGGGAUGGGCUCGCGGCCUAUCAGCUUGUUGGUGGGGUGAUGGCCUACCAAGGCGACGACGGGUAGCCGGCCUGAGAGGGCGACCGGCCACACUGGGACUGAGACACGGCCCGGACUCCUACGGGAGGCAGCAGUGGGGAAUAUUGCACAAUGGGCGGAAGCCUGAUGCAGCGACGCCGCGUGAGGGAUGACGGCCUUCGGGUUGUAAACCUCUUUCAGCUCCGACGAAGCGAGAGUGACGGUAGGAGCAGCAGAAGCGCCGGCCAACUACGUGCCAGCAGCCGCGGUAAGACGUAGGGCGCGAGCGUUGUCCGGAUUUAUUGGGCGUAAAGAGCUCGUAGGCGGCUUGUCGCGUCGACUGUGAAAACCCACAGCUCAACUGUGGGCUUGCAGUCGAUACGGGCAGGCUAGAGUUCGGUAGGGGAGACUGGAAUUCCUGGUGUAGCGGUGAAAUGCGCAGAUAUCAGGAGGAACACCGGUGGCGAAGGCGGGUCUCUGGGCCGAUACUGACGCUGAGGAGCGAAAGCGUGGGGAGCGAACAGGAUUAGAUACCCUGGUAGUCCACGCUGUAAACGUUGGGCGC